ACUCCUACGGGAGGCAGCAGUGGGGAAUAUUGCACAAUGGGCGCAAGCCUGAUGCAGCCAUGCCGCGUGUAUGAAGAAGGCCUCGGUUGUAAAGUACUUUCAGCAGUGAGGAAGGUGGGUAUGUUAAUAGCAUACUCAUUUGACGUUAGCUGCAGAAGAAGCACCGGCUAACUCCGUGCCAGCAGCCGCGGUAAUACGGAGGGUGCGAGCGUUAAUCGGAAUUACUGGGCGUAAAGCGCAUGCAGGUGGUUUGUUAAGUCAGAUGUGAAAGCCCGGGGCUCAACCUCGGAAUUGCAUUUGAAACUGGCAAACUAGAGUACUGUAGAGGGGGUAGAAUUUCAGGUGUAGCGGUGAAAUGCGUAGAGAUCUGAAGGAAUACCGGUGGCGAAGGCGGCCCCCUGGACAGAUACUGACACUCAGAUGCGAAAGCGUGGGGAGCAAACAGGAUUAGAU
RNAcentral lists this ribosomal RNA (453 nucleotides) under uncultured bacterium. RNAcentral describes it as "bacterial SSU rRNA". It matches the Rfam family "Bacterial small subunit ribosomal RNA", at positions 335 to 783 of the family's 1533-position model. The record is from RNAcentral.